This 303-nucleotide ribosomal RNA is filed under the name Bacillus sp. mrc49. Its description in RNAcentral is "bacterial SSU rRNA". It matches the Rfam family "Bacterial small subunit ribosomal RNA", at positions 548 to 849 of the family's 1533-position model. Lineage: Bacteria; Bacillati; Bacillota; Bacilli; Caryophanales; Bacillaceae. The record is from RNAcentral.
GAAUUAUUGGGCGUAAAGCGCGCGCAGGUGGUUCCUUAAGUCUGAUGUGAAAGCCCACGGCUCAACCGUGGAGGGUCAUUGGAAACUGGGGAACUUGAGUGCAGAAGAGGAAAGUGGAAUUCCAAGGGUAGCGGUGAAAUGCGUAGAGAUUUGGAGGAACACCAGUGGCGAAGGCGACUUUCUGGUCUGUAACUGACACUGAGGCGCGAAAGCGUGGGGAGCAAACAGGAUUAGAUACCCUGGUAGUCCACGCCGUAAACGAUGAGUGCUAAGUGUUAGAGGGUUUCCGCCCUUUAGUGCUGC